CUGCUCACUUUGGCAGCAUAUGUACUACAAUUGGGAUGAUACAGAGGUUAGCAUGACCCCUGUGCAAGGAUGACACACAAAUUCGUGGAACGUUCCAAAAUUUU
Small nuclear RNA from Callithrix jacchus (white-tufted-ear marmoset), 104 nucleotides. The record is from Ensembl. Lineage: Eukaryota; Metazoa; Chordata; Mammalia; Primates; Cebidae.